GGUACCUUCUAUUUGGAGAUUCAAUCAAUGCAGAUAUACUUGUAAAUUUUGAUACGUCGUCCUCUGGUGCCAUAACAAUCAGUCCCAUUCUAAAUGACAUUGUUCGUUUGAGCUAUGCACUUCACCUAAUGCUGGUAUUUCCUCUCUUAAAUUUCUCCCUGAGAGCCAACAUUGACGAACUUAUAUUCCCUAAGAAGGAAUUACUAGCAACUGACACCAAAAGAUUCAUGUUUCUUAC
RNAcentral lists this unclassified non-coding RNA (238 nucleotides) under Hevea brasiliensis (rubber tree). The record is from RNAcentral. Lineage: Eukaryota; Viridiplantae; Streptophyta; Magnoliopsida; Malpighiales; Euphorbiaceae.